GUCCCCGUAGUCUAAUGGAUAUGACGUCGGCCUCCGAAGCCGAAGGUUGCAGGUUCGACUCCUGCCGGGGAUA
RNAcentral lists this transfer RNA (73 nucleotides) under Planctomyces sp. RNAcentral describes it as "tRNA-Arg". It matches the Rfam family "tRNA". From Rfam's summary of the family: Transfer RNA (tRNA) molecules are approximately 80 nucleotides in length. Their secondary structure includes four short double-helical elements and three loops (D, anti-codon, and T loops). Lineage: Bacteria; Pseudomonadati; Planctomycetota; Planctomycetia; Planctomycetales; Planctomycetaceae. The record is from RNAcentral.